Molecule: long non-coding RNA, 176 nt
Organism: Labeo rohita (rohu)
Lineage: Eukaryota; Metazoa; Chordata; Actinopteri; Cypriniformes; Cyprinidae
Exons: 2
Source: RefSeq, a predicted model, not a curated record
CCGCCUUGUUCCUCGUGUUUUAUUAUCCAUGGUUCUGGUUCCUCCUGUUUUAUUUUCCAGGGUUCUGGUUCACUCGUGUCCUCCUCACUCUCCUCUUUAACAAACACCAUCUUCACAGCAGCAGAUCUCAGUUCAGCUGAUUCUCCUCCAGAUAUUCCUGCUUGCUUCAAAACUUA